AUUCUUGUAGUUGAAAUACAACGGUGAUUUUUCAUGUCAUUAGUCUUGGAUGUACCCAUGCAAGAAUU
This 68-nucleotide transfer RNA is filed under the name Myotis nattereri (Natterer's bat). RNAcentral describes it as "tRNA-Glu". The record is from RNAcentral. Lineage: Eukaryota; Metazoa; Chordata; Mammalia; Chiroptera; Vespertilionidae.